RNAcentral lists this ribosomal RNA (244 nucleotides) under Clostridioides difficile. Its description in RNAcentral is "partial 16S ribosomal RNA". It matches the Rfam family "Bacterial small subunit ribosomal RNA", at positions 1 to 252 of the family's 1533-position model. The record is from RNAcentral. Lineage: Bacteria; Bacillati; Bacillota; Clostridia; Peptostreptococcales; Peptostreptococcaceae.
UUUUAUUUGAGAGUUUGAUCCUGGCUCAGGAUGAACGCUGGCGGCGUGCCUAACACAUGCAAGUUGAGCGAUUUACUUCGGUAAAGAGCGGCGGACGGGGGAGUAACGCGUGGGUAACCUACCCUGUACACACGGAUAACAUACCGAAAGGUAUGCUAAUACGGGAUAAUAUAUUUGAGAGGCAUCUCUUAAAUAUCAAAGGUGAGCCAGUACAGGAUGGACCCGCGUCUGAUUAGCUAGUUGG